Molecule: non-coding RNA, 27 nt
Filed under: Cricetulus griseus (Chinese hamster)
Lineage: Eukaryota; Metazoa; Chordata; Mammalia; Rodentia; Cricetidae
Source: RNAcentral
GUGUUUCUUUUGGCUCUGCUCAGGGUG